Molecule: ribosomal RNA, 94 nt
Filed under: uncultured bacterium
Lineage: Bacteria
Description: partial 16S ribosomal RNA
Rfam family: Bacterial small subunit ribosomal RNA
Source: RNAcentral
CCGCGUGAGUGAUGAAGGCCUUAGGGUUGUAAAGCUCUUUUAUUAGGGACGAUGAUGACGGUACCUAAUGAAUAAGCUCCGGCUAACUUCGUGC